GAUAAAUGAACUUCUACUAAGACCGCAAACGUCCUGUUUACAACGCAAAAGUCAACGCGUCCUGCGUA
This 68-nucleotide small RNA is filed under the name Alteribacillus iranensis. RNAcentral describes it as "Bacillus sp. X5B(2010) Bacillaceae-1 RNA". It matches the Rfam family "Bacillaceae-1 RNA". The record is from Rfam by way of RNAcentral. Lineage: Bacteria; Bacillati; Bacillota; Bacilli; Caryophanales; Bacillaceae.